UACGUAGGGUGCGAGCGUUGCCCGGAUUUAUUGGGCGUAAAGGGCGCGUAGGCGGCUCGGCACGUCCGUUGUGAAAUCGCCCGGCUCAACUGGGCGGGGUCAGCGGAUACGGCCGAGCUUGAGCAAGCUAGGGGGCAAUGGAAUUCCCGGUGUAGUGGUGGAAUGCGUAGAUAUCGGGAGGAACACCAGUGGCGAAGGCGGUUGCCUGGAGCUUUGCUGACGCUGAUGCGCGAAAGCUAGGGGAGCAAACAGG
Molecule: ribosomal RNA, 253 nt
Filed under: uncultured bacterium
Lineage: Bacteria
Description: partial 16S ribosomal RNA
Rfam family: Bacterial small subunit ribosomal RNA
Source: RNAcentral